RNAcentral lists this small nuclear RNA (312 nucleotides) under Nipponia nippon (crested ibis). Its description in RNAcentral is "7SK RNA". It matches the Rfam family "7SK RNA", at positions 1 to 257 of the family's 331-position model. Rfam says of the family: 7SK was discovered as an abundant small nuclear RNA in the mid-70s but a possible function has only recently been suggested. Two independent studies have found that 7SK RNA binds the CDK9/cyclin T complex (known as elongation factor P-TEFb). Lineage: Eukaryota; Metazoa; Chordata; Aves; Pelecaniformes; Threskiornithidae. The record is from Rfam by way of RNAcentral.
GAUGUGAGGGUGAUCUGGCUGCGACAACUGUCACCUCAUUGAUCACCAGAGUUGAUUUGGCUGAUCUGGCUGGCUAGGCGGGUGUCCCCUUCCUCCCUCACUGUGUCUCUCCUGAAGCUGCGCACUCGGGCAAAGAGGACUGCCUUCCCCGACAGAGACAUACUGUUUAUCGGUCAAGGGUAUACGGUAGCUGCGGUCCCCUGCUAGAACCUCCAAACAAGUUCUUUUUUUCAUAGCUUAUUUUUGCUAUUCUCCUUUUCCUUUGACGACUUCAAAAUACACUCCUCGCUAUUUGGAAUUAAGUCAAGAGCA